CCUACGGGAGGCAGCAGUGGGGAAUAUUGGGCAAUGGGCGCAAGCCUGACCCAGCAACGCCGCGUGAAGGAAGCAGGCUUUCGGGUUGUAAACGUCUGUUGGCAGGGAAGAGAAUAAGACAGUCCCUGUCGAAUAAGCUACGGCGAACUACCUGACAGCAGCCGCGGUAAUACGGAGGUGGCAAGCGUGGUCCGGAUUUACGGGGUGGAAAGGGCGGGAAGCCGGGUUGACAAGUCAGAUGUGAAAUCCUGCGGCUUAACCGCAGAACUGCCUUUGAAACUGUGGAGGUGGAGUACUGGAGAGGGAGACGGAAUUCCUGGUGUAGCGGUGAAAUGCGUAGAUAUUAGGAGGAACACCAGUGGCGAAGGCGGUCUGCUGG
RNAcentral lists this ribosomal RNA (379 nucleotides) under uncultured bacterium. RNAcentral describes it as "partial 16S ribosomal RNA". It matches the Rfam family "Bacterial small subunit ribosomal RNA", at positions 338 to 732 of the family's 1533-position model. The record is from RNAcentral.